UGCCCAGCAACUCCUAUCCCUACCUCCUCGUGGUACUGGCCGGGGUACGAGUAACCUUGGGGAAGAUCGGGUAACCACUCCCCGGUGGGAACUUUGGUCGUAUGCUGACAGGGAAGG
RNAcentral lists this ribozyme (117 nucleotides) under Aedes aegypti (yellow fever mosquito). Its description in RNAcentral is "drz-agam-1 ribozyme". It matches the Rfam family "drz-agam-1 ribozyme". Lineage: Eukaryota; Metazoa; Arthropoda; Insecta; Diptera; Culicidae. The record is from Rfam by way of RNAcentral.